UACUCCUCUCGUCUAACUGGAGUACCGCAGUCGACGGCAAGCACUUCCUGGUUCGACUUAUCGCGUCCAGACAAGACGCGAUAAGUUGAACCCAGAACUUCGAUUGCCAGCCGCCGAAUUAGCGGCUGGGUGUAGACAUACCCUAAGUCGGAAGCUGUUCCCCCGGGAAAGACAUUUCUCAACGAUAGAGAAAGAGGCCCUGGCGGUACGGUGGGCUAUCGACGCCCUACGUUACUACCUGCUAGGGAAUAGUUUUAAGUUAAUCACAGAUCACGCCCCUUUGCGAUGGAUCCACAGCAUGAAAGACACGAACGCUAGAAUUAUGCGGUGGUACCUCGCCCUCCAGCCUUACGACUUCCAGGUGCUCCACCGACCAGAGAGUGCGAGAGGAGGGAGCAUACCCCAGCCUAGGCAGGCGGCCGUGGGAGAAGAACUCUUGCGGGAAGCCCUGGUGGAGGACCAGCCCACACUCCUGGAACCGCCGAGGACUGCGACUUCUCCAGGUCGAGAGGGAGCCUCACUGUGGGAGGGACCAGCCGAGGCGGUGGACCACGAGACCCGUGGAGAAUCAGGAGACCCAUGGGACGCUCCAGCAGCGGAACGGAUAGGAGGCAGUUUAAGGGAAGCGACGGACUGGUACGUCGGACCCGGGAGCGGCCGGUCAGAACCACACCAGGUCCUGGACUGUGAGUAUCGGACUCGAGGGUGUGGGGCUGUUGUUUAACCACCCCCCCGGAAGGGGGUGUGAAUGGACCAGGGAACACUGUCGGAGGGCAGUGCUCCGGAAGAGGACGCCAUACGUGGAGAGCAGCGCAAACCCGCGCACCCAACGAAGGCGAGACAACAGGCGGGACGCCACCCAAAGAGGGCGCUCUACUGGCUAAAACUAAUUCCCCGAGAUGACCAGGAGGAGGCGCCGCAGUGGUGAGCUACUGACCCUGUCACAGAGUUCGUUGCUAAUGCCUGCCUGCCGACGUUGGAGCCGACCAAUAUGGUCUAAGCACUCCCGAGGGUUUAGCCCAUUUGUAAGUAUCUUGAUCAAAUGCUUAUAAAUAUUUGCAUCCGAAGAAGUGGGUAUUCAUCCACGAAAGCUCAUGCUCCUAUACGUCUGUUAGUCUAUAAGGUGCCAUAGGACUCUUUGCUGCUUUUAUAAAUAUUUUGUUACUCAUGGAGGAUAGGUCCAUCAAUGCUAUCAGUCAAGAUGGGCAGGAAUUGUGUCCCUAGCCUCUGUUUGCCAGAAGCUGGGAAUGGGCAACUGGAUGGAUCACUUGAUGAUUACCUGUUCUGUUCAUUCUCUCUGAAACAUCUGGCAUUGGCCACCAUCAGAAGACAGGAUACUGGGCUAGAUGGACCAUUGGCAUGACCCAGUAUGGCUGUUCUUAUAUUUGGAUGUACUAAAUUGCUUAUUAGCCUUUUUCUGCAUGUUUAGAGCAAUUGUAUAAAUACCAUUUGGCCUUUGGAUUUAAUAAAAGAAUUUAUGGUUAAAUUGGUUUUGGUGAUUGCCCAUAUCAAAAAUUCCACCACCACAAAACUGGCUUGAGCUAGAAGUUAGAGCAGGAUGCAGAGCCCUCAUAUCUUCUUUAAUUGUUGGCUGGAGGGUCCCCCUAUUUCAGUAGGAGCACUGCUAUGGUUCCGCUGCAUUGUUCCAGACUAAGGGAGUCAUCUGCUUGCUUGUGAACAAGAGCUAAGGGAAAAGACCCUCUUUCAAGUCUAUUUUUACCUUCCUAUCAAUGAUUAGGGGAAAUCAUUUGAUUGUGUAUGCAUUCUGCCUGGAACCACAGGACCUUCAAACAGUCAUUUCAGUGCCUGAAAAGACUUAGGCAUAUGGGGCAAAAAACCACAUUUCUGGUGAUGAAUGGUGGCAGGGCAGUAGGUGUAUUUUAAUGCAGGGAACUAAGUGCUAUCCAGGGUUAGUUUGGUGCAGACUCCUUCAAGAAGGCUGAGAGCACCCUUUUGAUGACUAACUGGAGAUAAUUCUUGACAAACAUGUAAGUUUGUGGAAGGGAAGGAGAUGUGAAUUGGUCUGUUGCUGUGUGCAGGAGGUAUGAAUGGCAUUCUUUGUCUUGAUGUUAGAAACACUGUACUGAGAGCAAAGGGGUCUCAAUGUUCUCUUUGGUCGACAACAGCUUUUUGAGUUGCCUGGCCAGAGCCAUCCUGCCACCCAUGGGGAAAGUGAACACUGCCAUCCCCGGCUGGAACCAACAGCCAACUGCAACCAGACAUCGCCAUCGCCAACGAGGAUGGGAAGAAGACCUUCAUGGUGGACGUCACAGUGCCCUUCAAGAACAGGACCCCGGCCUUCUGCGAUGCCCGAACUCAAAAGCUGGAGAAAUAUACUCCUCUAGCUGAAACCUUGAGAGCUAAGGGUUACCCAGGUUCAGACACAUGCACUGAUCGUCAGAGCCUUGGGCACAUGGGACCCCAGUAACGAGCAAGUGUUGUGGGAAUGUGGAAUCAGUCAACGCUACACUCGGCUGAUGCGGCAACUCAUGGUGUUGGACGCCAUCAGAUGCUCGAGGGACAUCUACAAAGAACAUGUCACUGGACAUCGGCAAUACCAGGAGGGAUGAGCUGGAGUGCCGAUAAGAAGUACAGUGGGGAAAGUAACUGAAAUACUUCCCUCAUGGAUUGUAUUUUCUAAAUGGACAACCUACCCUAAAUUCUCAAUUACUGAGGGACAAUCUUCACCCAUUGCUAUAUUUGCUUUCCACAACCAACUCUCUGUAUGAACUUUUUAUGAGUUGUGUACUCAAAUACUUGGAUGCUAAUAUCUAAAUUGUAUUCUUAAAUGCAUUCACCUAAAUUUGGGUUAUUGCUAAUUAUGCACUAUAUGUUUCUUAUGACUUUAAAAACAAACUUUGUAUUUGUGGAUAAUCUAAGCCCUAUACCCAGAUGUACAGACACUCGUUUCUCAACCUGUGUAUUAUAUAAUUUUAACAUUAACUUUAAUAAAAUUUUUAGUUCUUAC
Long non-coding RNA from Malaclemys terrapin pileata, 2968 nucleotides. RefSeq lists it as uncharacterized. The transcript is spliced from 4 exons. The record is from RefSeq and is a predicted model, not a curated record. Lineage: Eukaryota; Metazoa; Chordata; Testudines; Emydidae.